UUCUCCCAACACACACUCUUUGCCAUGGAUGAGACGAUGAGAAAUGCUGCACAAGGAGGACAUAUUAAUGUCUUAUAUGAGUUGAUUCAGAAUGAUCAAUAUGUUUUAGAGCAUAUUGAUCAUGUUCCUUUUCUUGAUACCCCAUUGCACGUGGCAGCCUCUGCAGGGAAUAUAGAGUUUAUGAUGGAGAUGAUGAACUUAAAGCCAUCGUUUGCAAGAAAGCUAAACCAAGCUGGGUUUAGCCCCAUGCACUUGACUCUGCAAAAUGACAAAACUCAAGCAGUGCUUCGACUCCUCAGGUUUGAUAAAGGCCUUGUUCGUGUCAAAGGGAGGGAGGGCUUGACUCCUUUGCAUCAUGUGGUUCAAAAUGGAAAUGUUGAUUUUCUGAUCAAGUUCCUUGAGGUUUUCCCCGACGCUAUUGAAGAUGUGACUGUUCGAGAUGAGACGGUUUUCCAUCUUCCAUAAAAAAUGACAGGUUUGAAGCUUUCCAAGUCUUGGUGGGGUGGCUUAUAAGAAGCCGCCAUGAAGCUGCCAACCGUUGGGAGAAAGAACUACUGAGUUGGGCAGACAUUGAUGGCAACACUGUUUUACAUGUUGCUGCUAGCAGAAACAGACCUCGGGUGGUAAAAGUACUGCUGGAACACAUGCGGCGAGACCAAAUCAAUGCCAAAAAUUUGGAGGGAUUGACAGCACUAGAUAUCCAAUCACAAUACCCAUGGAAUGAAAAGCGAGCGGAUAGGAUUGUUGAUAUGCUAAGCAAAGCAGGAGGUUUGAGUGGUUCCUCUUCCUCGCUUCCCUAUACCUCCAUCUCUUCAUUCCACAUCGAAUUUUUAAAAGAAAAGGUGUCAGUUUUUCAAAAAUUUGCAACAAUAGCAAGUCGUGGAAAGAAGGGAAUCCCAUAUGAGAUGCGUAAAACAUUUUUAGUAGCCACAGUGCUAAUUAUAACAGCCACAUACACUGCCACUUUGAACCCUCCAAAGCAGCCUGAUAGCAUGUCAAAAUUCUUGAAUUACCAACUCUAGUAUCACACAUCUUUAGAUUCAACCAGCACUGCACCCGAACCAAGUCCUGCAACCGGUGAAAAAGAAAAUUUCGAAAAUUUACUAGACGUGUCCACUAUGUUUUGGUUAUACAACACUUCAACCUUUUGGGCAGCAGCUGUUUUAACUGCCUAUCUCCUACCGAGCCGUUCAAUCUGCUUGUUUAUUCUCAUAACACUUUCCUUGUUUGGGACCUGUUACAUGCUUUUAGUUGCUGUUUCCAUACGGACACUCGCAUGUAAGUAUUUAUUCUUGUUGAAGUUGGCCUGCAUGCAGCAUGUGAAGAAGCCAAGUGUCAAGAAGCAGCCCGAGCAAUGCAUGCAGCUGUAAAGAAAAGAGAUCAAACUGUUGUAUUAUUAUCGGGUGAAGUAUGCAUCUUGAACAUGAAAAGGUGGCCAUGCAGCUUGAGACCAAUAGCCAGAAGCAGAAGCUUAUUGAUGCUGUCCGAUUUAAACUCAUUUUGGUUACCUUAAAUUCAUAGUUUGUAACUUAGUUCUUUUAGAACUUAGUUGGUAAAUCUUUUGAUGUAUUUUUUGAUGUUGAUUGACUGAAAAUUCAGCAAAGCAACUUGUGCAAGCUAGUUUAGCAAUUUUCAAUGUUUUAAGUGGUGUUAGGUAAAUAUUUAGGUAGUAUUUUGACUUGUAAUGAUCAUCUCAUGUUUGAUAUAUGUAAUGGCAGUUUGCCAAUGUUUAAUUAAUGAAAAAUCAUCAUCUUUUUCAUUCAA
Gossypium arboreum is the source of this 1764-nucleotide long non-coding RNA. RefSeq lists it as uncharacterized. The transcript has 2 exons. Lineage: Eukaryota; Viridiplantae; Streptophyta; Magnoliopsida; Malvales; Malvaceae. The record is from RefSeq and is a predicted model, not a curated record.